UCUUCGAAGCCUGCUUCGAGGCGGGGCGGUUUCCGAAGCAGUGAAAGACGGGCAGACUCGUCCUGCUGAGGAAGGACGGGCACCCUGCAAACUCGCUUGCGGGGUAUCGCCCCAUCGUGUUGUUGGACGAGGCGGGAAAAUUGCUCGAGGAAGCGGGUGGUGGCCGCCCGCCUUGUUCGGUACGUGACUGGGGUGAGUCUCGACCGAACCUCAAUUCGAGCCCAGCACGUCGGGCCGCAUAGACUGUGCCGCUGUUGUUCCGGAAUACCCCGCUGGACUGGCUCCACUCCGGUGGCAAGCGGUGCGAUGGUAAAAACGAGAUAAUGAUAUCAUCUCAAACAAUUCCUCAGAGCACUCCCCAUGGAACAUACGGUACAAAAUAUAGAGGGAACCGAAGUCCCUCCGCAGACCCAGAAGUCCCAAACGAUUCGUGAGAAUGGGAUUAUCGAUAAUCCGAACGGCCCUCCUCUGUAUGGAGUCAAAUGUAAGAAGCUGGUAUUUGGGAGCCCCGGCCCAGAGAUGGGAGCAGUACUCCACGCGAGGUCGGACUUGUGCUUUAUAAAGCAAAAGUCUUUGUCCAGGUGGUCCAGGCCUGAAGUACUGCUUCGCUCUUUUGAGGACUCCCAGCAUUUUGGACGGCAACUUGGCUUUGCCUUCCAAACGACUCUGAAAUAGGACAUCUCUCGAAAUGUCGACCCCAAGUAUCCCGAUACUCUCCUUAGCAGCGCGUUAGAGCGCUGGUAGCGCACCGCGCAGCCUCAUCCCCCUCAGGUCGCCCCAUGACCUUACCGGGGGGAAGCCGCCUCCUACCGGGGUCGGAACGUACGCUCGUACUGUCUCCUCUGUCCCCCGGGUCGACAGCGACGGAUCAAUGCGGAGAAACGGAGCGGAAGAGCUCUCCCACUCUCGUUCCACCGCCUCCUUCUACGAUAUGAUAGACUCGCAGAAAUCGAGCAUCACUUUCCAGGACGCUUCGCUACCAAGCAUGACGCGCAGCAGGCGACUAUGACCACGACGAGGGCGGCGCGCAGCUUCUCGAAUCCAGAGCAACGCGCCAAUGUACGUUUCGUUGUGUCAUCCUCGUCGCGGUCUGCGCAAUGAUGGCACUGCGCUAUCGGUUCCCUUCCGGCAAUUUUGUGCAAGUAUUGGCUGAAACAUCCGUGGCCGGUAAGCAUUUGUGUGAGCCGGAAGGUGAGGCAUCCGCAGUCACGGCCCACCCAGUCCGCGAGAACCAAGCGGAUUACCUCAACGGUACGGAGGCCGUCCGACGAGUCCGCCAAACGACGAGGCCACGCCUCCAGCGCGGACGUCCGAGAUUAGAGCCUCCGCACUCGAAUCACUCCUUCGCCAGGGCGACCUUUGCCCAUAGAGCGAAGGUCGCUGCGCCACCUUAGUACUGUAGUCAGCGGCGAGCGACUCCAGGAGAGUCUUCAUGCUCUACUUCUUGGCCUCGCCGAUGGCCAGCUGCAGCGUCGCCUGCCUUUGGCGACAGUCAGCGUGCAGCCGGGCCGCCGUCUCCGCGAAUGCAUCAUCGCGACGAGGGCGGCGCGCCCUCACGCACUCCUUGCGGAGUCUCGCGAUCUCGGGCGACCAUCAGAACGCAUCAGCACGUGGUGCUCGGGAGUCGAUCCAUCACAGAUUCUCUCAAUUCUGCCCCGGAACCAUUCGACCUCCGCAUUCACGUCCGCAGCAGCAGCGGCCGCUGCGAUCGAACGGGGCGCACCUUGCGGGAGCUUCUCCUCAGCGCCAGCGCCCGCAGCAGACGAGGACGAUGACGAAGAAGAGCAGGAAAGCUCGAAUGCGGGCAUUCGUUUCUUUUUUGGUUUUUUUAUUUUUUUUGGGCAAUGCAAUAUUAGUGUUGUGCAACAAAAGUAACUCGUAUUUAUAGUAGUAAAGUGGGGUACCCUAGUCAUGAAUUCUCUUGAAUACCCUCUUAAACAAUUGCUUACAUGCGUAAUUAAUCUUAGUUAACUAAAUAGUAACGUUGCGUCGACAUAAUAGGUUGGGGAAAAACUCUUUCCGCAUUAUAGUAUGUAUGAACUUGUAAUAAAAUCUCUUUGGCUAUACUAUUAGUAUCUGGCUGGUUUUGGUAUCAUUAAAAGUUUAAAUUUUAAAGUACAUAAUUCCAAAUGCAAAUUAGGAAAAUGUGUGAUUUUUAUUUAUUUUUCGUGCUGUCAAGAUGAGCGAAUCUAAUGAAGAAAUUCGAUACAUUUUAAAAUUUUACUACAAAAAAGGUAAAACUGCAACGCAAGCCGCGAAAAAAAUUUGCGAUGUUUAUGGACCUAGUGCAGUCAGUGUCUGUGAGAGUAGCACAAAUUUGGUUUAAGCGUUUUCAAUCCGGAAAGUUUGAUGUCAAAGAUGCACGUCGCUCUGGUCGCCCUAUUACGGAUAAAAUGGAUGCCAUUCAAAUGUAAAUAAACUAUAUUAAAAAAAGUUGUGAAUUUUCUUAAAAAAUGCGAAGAAACUUUUCCCCAACCUAUUAGUUGGUUAAGUUAAGCAGCGCCGGCCGCGCUCGGUUUCAAUUAAAUAAUAUGGAAUAAGUUAGCUAGGGAAGUAAAGCUGCCGCCUGAAUUAAUUAAAAUUUUUCAGUAUUGGUAUGGCAAUCAAAAUAAUAGUGUGAGAUGGGCCGGUGCGCACUCUGAUGCGUACCGUUUAGAAUGUGGUGUGAGGCAGGGGGGUCUAACCUCACCUUUGCUAUUUAGCAUAUACAUGAAUAAGCUCAUCGAUGAGCUCAGUAGUGCGGGUGUCGGCUGCAUGAUCGAUGGAGUUUCUUUUAACAAUAUUAGUUAUGCAGACGAUAUGGUAUUGCUGAGCCCAUCACUCAGGAGUGCACUCAGGAAACUUUUAAAAAUUUGUGAGAACUAUGCUGAGUCCCACGGGCUGAGGUACAAUGCCAAGAAGAGCGAACUGCUAGUGUUCAAAGCGCAGAACAAAACUUACGAGAACGUACCUCCAAUCUGGCUAGCGGGCGCAACGCUUACACAAGUCAAGCGCUUCAAGUACCUCGGUCACUGGGUAACAGAGGAUGUGCAUCCACAAUGUUUGCGACAUCUCACACCGAUGACUUCUUUGCAAUAAUGCGGAAGAGAAGUGCAUCGUUAUUGCGUCGAGUUCGUGACAGUGGCAACAGUCUUUUGAGAAUCAUAUCGAGCAAGAUCGAGGGACUGCUGAUCAAUAGCCUUUGCAGUAGGCACUUGGAAGGAGAAAAAAUAAAAUAAAAAAUGUAAUGGUAUAAAAUGUAUAUAAUGAUAGUUAUGUGUUAGAUUUUUUAAGUUACUAACAUAGAUAUAAGUAAUUACUACUAACAAAAUGUUAUGAUUUUAAAAAAAAAAAACUGAAAUAAAGUACUAAUAAUAAUAAUA
Molecule: long non-coding RNA, 3362 nt
Organism: Bombyx mori (domestic silkworm)
Lineage: Eukaryota; Metazoa; Arthropoda; Insecta; Lepidoptera; Bombycidae
Exons: 2
Source: RefSeq, a predicted model, not a curated record